Molecule: long non-coding RNA, 620 nt
Filed under: Homo sapiens (human)
Lineage: Eukaryota; Metazoa; Chordata; Mammalia; Primates; Hominidae
Description: non-protein coding LINC00963:69
Source: RNAcentral
AUUCUCAGGGGCUCCCGAGUGUGGGGAGGGCGGCUCAGCAGGAGCUGCUGCUUCCCAGAAAGUUGAUUAUUUUUAACCCAGGAAGAAGAAAGGAAGGAGGCGAGGGAGAAGGACUCAGAGAAAAGAGGAGAGGAAAAGAGAGGAGAGGAGAGGAAAGAAACGGAGUCUCACUCUGUCACCAGGCUGGAGUACAGUGGUGUGAUCUCGGCUCACUGCAACCUCCGCCUCCCAGGUUCAAGCGAUUCUCCUGCCUCAGCCUCUCAAGUAGCUGAGAUUACAGACGUGUGUCACCAUGCCCUGUUAAUUUUUGUUUGUUUGUUUUGUUUUUUGUUUUGUUUUGUUUCGUUUUUUGUUUUUUUUUUUUGAGACGGAGUCUUGCUCUGUCGCCCAGGCUGGAGUGCAGUGGCCCCGAUCUCGGCUCACCGCAAGCUCCGCCUCGCGGGUUCAUGCCAUUCUCCGGCCUCAGCCUCCCGAGUAGCUGGGACUACAGGCAUCCGCCACCACACCCAGCUAAUUUUUUGUAUUUUUUUUAGUAGAGACGGGGUUUCACUGUGUUAGCCAGGAUGGUCUCGAUCCCCUGACCUUGUGAUCCACCCAAGGCCUCGGCCUCCCAAAGUGCU